CUGGCGAGCGCCUGUCAGAGGACCUACAAAAUCUGUGUUAGUGUUGUCUGAGUAUCAUUUAAUAAUUAAAACUUUCAACAACGGAUCUCUUGGUUCUGGCAUCGAUGAAGAACGCAGCGAAAUGCGAUAAGUAAUGUGAAUUGCAGAAUUCAGUGAAUCAUCGAAUCUUUGAACGCACAUUGCGCCCUCUGGUAUUCCGGAGGGCAUGCCUGUUCGAGCGUCAUAAGACCACUCAAGCCCAGCUUGGUGUUGGGACGCGCCCCGGCGCUCCUCAAAAUCAGUGGCGGCUCGGCUCAGCUUCAUGCGUAGUAAAAUGUCUCGCUAUGGACGCUGGGCUGGCGCCUGCCAGAAGCCUAAUUUUUACAGGUUGACCUCGGAUCAGGUAGG
This is a ribosomal RNA of 387 nucleotides. The stretch from base 70 to 223 matches the Rfam family "5.8S ribosomal RNA".